GCCCGUCCGUCGAAAGGCGAGGACAAGUGCAACAGAAAGAAUGUACAGGUUAAGCUGUAGUGAAAUCAGGUAAACUCUAUGCGGUGCAACGCCAUGUAAAUCGACGUUUGAAGGCGACACGUCUGAGUCGAAGGGUAGGCGGAUUGAGUCUUUGGGUAACCACUGGCCUAGAUAAAUGGUAAGGAUAUACAGAAUCCGGCUUAUGGUCUGCUUUUUUUA
This 219-nucleotide RNase P RNA is filed under the name Flavobacteriaceae bacterium. RNAcentral describes it as "partial RNase P RNA component class A". It matches the Rfam family "Bacterial RNase P class A", at positions 83 to 367 of the family's 367-position model. Rfam says of the family: Ribonuclease P (RNase P) is a ubiquitous endoribonuclease, found in archaea, bacteria and eukarya as well as chloroplasts and mitochondria. Its best characterised activity is the generation of mature 5'-ends of tRNAs by cleaving the 5'-leader elements of precursor-tRNAs. Cellular RNase Ps are ribonucleoproteins. The record is from RNAcentral. Lineage: Bacteria; Pseudomonadati; Bacteroidota; Flavobacteriia; Flavobacteriales; Flavobacteriaceae.